This 939-nucleotide ribosomal RNA is filed under the name Sporisorium cruentum. RNAcentral describes it as "LSU rRNA". It matches the Rfam family "Eukaryotic large subunit ribosomal RNA", at positions 38 to 959 of the family's 3401-position model. Lineage: Eukaryota; Fungi; Basidiomycota; Ustilaginomycetes; Ustilaginales; Ustilaginaceae. The record is from RNAcentral.
GCAUAUCAUAGCGGAGGAAAAGAAACUAACAAAAGAUUCCCUAGUAACGGCGAGUGAAGAGGGAAGAGCCCAAGAUUGAAAGCUGGCGUCUUCGGCGUCCGCAUUGUAAUCUCAAGAAGUGUUUUCCGCUUCGGACCAUGCCUAAGUCCCUUGGAAAAGGGCAUCAUAGAGGGUGAUAAUCCCGUACAUGGCAUGGAGCGCCCGAAGCUUUGUGAUACGCUUUCUACGAGUCGAGUUGUUUGGGAAUGCAGCUCAAAAUGGGUGGUAAAUGCCAUCUAAGGCUAAAUAUUGGGGAGAGACCGAUAGCGAACAAGUACAGUGAUGGAAAGAUGAAAAGAACUUUGAAAAGAGAGUUAAACAGUACGUGAAAUUGCCAAAAGGGAAGGGUAGGAGGUCAGAGAUGCGUCUUGGGAUUCAGCCUUGCUUUUUCGCUUGGUGUUUUUCCCAAGUUGCAGGCCAACGUCGGUUUUGGGCACUGGAGAAGGGUGGGAGGAACGUGGCACCUCUCGGGGUGUGUUAUAGCCUCCUACUGGAUACAGCGACCGAGACCGAGGACAGCAGCGUACUCGCAAGAGCGGGCCUUCGGGCACCUUUACGCUUAGGGCGUUGGCAUAAUGGCCCUCUACCACCCGUCUUGAAACACGGACCAAGGAGUCUAACAUGUAUGCGAGUCUUUGGGUGGCAAACCCAUAGGCGCAAUGAAAGUGAAUUCAGGUGGGAUCCGCAAGGUGCACCAUCGACCGAUCCUCACGUCUUUUAAGUCGUGGAUUUGAGUAAGAGCAUACCUGUUGGGACCCGAAAGAUGGUGAACUAUGCCUGAAUAGGGUGAAGCCAGAGGAAACUCUGGUGGGAGGCUCGUAGCGGUUCUGACGUGCAAAUCGAUCGUCAAAUUUGGGUAUAGGGGCGAAAGAUAUUCGAACCAUCUAGUAGCUGUCUGCA